GGGCGGAGCUGGAGCUCUAGCGAGGCGUGGCAUCCUCGCUGGAUCUAGUGGGCAUGGCAGCAUCAAGUGCGCAGGCGCAGAUAGAGUUUGUUUAAACUUCCUGUACAGCCUGUAUCAAGUACUCCGGAGUAUUGCACGGGAAGAAAACGGUGCACCAGACAAUACUUAUGCGAGGACAGGAUCUUCUGCUGUCUAUAUCACGGUGCCUACUGUAAAUAAACAUUUACACGAGCUCUGAAAUCAUGCAGUUCAACAAAAAGAUUUUAUCAUCAUCAAGCGUGUUCUCAAGUCCAGACGAUCCCACACUUUCACUGCUGUUACCGUACAUCAACAUUUUAAAAUGUGUAAAAAUCCAGCCUCUGGACAACCUUCCAUUGGCUGCAGCACCACCUUCAUCCCCAGCAUCAGCAUCCCCACCUUUACUUCCCCUCGACAUUGGAACAUGUCUGUACUGAUUUUGAGGGUGCCCCUCUACAGCUAGGAGGAAUUGAUUGUGGGGUAUUUAUGUUGAUGUCAAGUCCCACAACUACUCACCCAGAAAGUAACAUAUGCAGAUAACAUGAAAUUCACUCCACCUGAGUCAGAUGUCAUGGAGAUCAUCCAGACACCAGAGGAAGAUCACACAGGACUCAGCGGUGAUGAGAAACAUUCAGCUGACCUGUGAGUGGCUAAAGGAGACCACUUGCUGGGAAGAUGAGCUGCAAAAGAUCUAAAGGAUGAUGCCCUGUUGGCUAUAACAAUGUUGGACUUGUUUAUAAACACCAUGUUUUAUGAGGGUGAAAGGAAUGAAGAAAAAAUGUCGACUCCCUUCCCUUUUAUAUUUUAGAGAAGAGCAGGAAAUAUAUGAGACAAAAGAGUUAUUCGUGGGUUUUGUUUACACAAAAAACCCUGUCUUGUGAAUCUACUAGUGGGGAUAGACUAAUGUAAAUAUUGAUUUUUUUGAUUGGUUUUGUAAAAUACCAUUAAACGUUUGUGUGGACUGUAAAGUGUUGUGUUCUUAAAAUAAAUUUAUAAUAUUUAUUAUCGUAUCUUAUUAUACCAUUAAAGUCUUGUGUUCUUGAAAUAUU
Non-coding RNA from Misgurnus anguillicaudatus (oriental weatherfish), 1067 nucleotides. The record is from RefSeq and is a predicted model, not a curated record. Lineage: Eukaryota; Metazoa; Chordata; Actinopteri; Cypriniformes; Cobitidae.